This 2889-nucleotide ribosomal RNA is filed under the name Acinetobacter baumannii 44362_5. Its description in RNAcentral is "bacterial LSU rRNA". It matches the Rfam family "Bacterial large subunit ribosomal RNA". Lineage: Bacteria; Pseudomonadati; Pseudomonadota; Gammaproteobacteria; Moraxellales; Moraxellaceae. The record is from RNAcentral.
CAAGUAAUUAAGUGCAUGUGGUGGAUGCCUUGGCAGUCAGAGGCGAUGAAAGACGUGAUAGCCUGCGAAAAGCUCCGGGGAGGCGGCAAAUAUCCUUUGAUCCGGAGAUGUCUGAAUGGGGGAACCCACCUACUUUAAGGUAGGUAUUGCAACAUGAAUACAUAGUGUUGCAAGGCGAACGAGGGGAAGUGAAACAUCUCAGUACCCUUAGGAAAAGAAAUCAAUUGAGAUUCCCUCAGUAGCGGCGAGCGAACGGGGAUCAGCCCAUUAAGUUAUGUGUGUUUUAGUGGAACGCUCUGGGAAGUGCGAACGUAGAGGGUGAUAUUCCCGUACACGAAAGGGCACACAUAAUGAUGACGAGUAGGGCGAGGCACGUGAAACCUUGUCUGAAUAUGGGGGGACCAUCCUCCAAGGCUAAAUACUCCUGACUGACCGAUAGUGAACCAGUACCGUGAGGGAAAGGCGAAAAGAACCCCUGUGAGGGGAGUGAAAUAGAUCCUGAAACCGCAUGCAUACAAGCAGUGGGAGCACCUUCGUGGUGUGACUGCGUACCUUUUGUAUAAUGGGUCAGCGACUUAUAUUCAGUAGCGAGGUUAACCGUAUAGGGGAGCCGUAGAGAAAUCGAGUCUUAAUAGGGCGUUUAGUUGCUGGGUAUAGACCCGAAACCAGGCGAUCUAUCCAUGAGCAGGUUGAAGGUUGGGUAACACUAACUGGAGGACCGAACCCACUGUCGUUGAAAAGCCAGGGGAUGACUUGUGGAUAGGGGUGAAAGGCUAAUCAAGCCUGGUGAUAGCUGGUUCUCCCCGAAAGCUAUUUAGGUAGCGCCUCGGACGAAUACCAUAGGGGGUAGAGCACUGUUUCGGCUAGGGGGUCAUCCCGACUUACCAAACCGAUGCAAACUCCGAAUACCUAUGAGUACUAUCCGGGAGACAGACUGCGGGUGCUAACGUCCGUAGUCAAGAGGAAAACAAUCCAGACCGCCAGCUAAGGCCCCAAAAUCAUAGUUAAGUGGGAAACGAUGUGGGAAGGCAUAGACAGCUAGGAGGUUGGCUUAGAAGCAGCCACCCUUUAAAGAAAGCGUAAUAGCUCACUAGUCGAGUCGGCCUGCGCGGAAGAUGUAACGGGGCUAAAACUAUGUGCCGAAGCUGCGGAUGUAUACUUUGUAUACGUGGUAGGGGAGCGUUCUGUAAGCCGAUGAAGGUGUGUUGAGAAGCAUGCUGGAGGUAUCAGAAGUGCGAAUGCUGACGUGAGUAACGACAAAACGGGUGAAAAACCCGUUCGCCGAAAGACCAAGGGUUCCAGUCCAACGUUAAUCGGGGCUGGGUGAGUCGACCCCUAAGGCGAGGCCGAAAGGCGUAGUCGAUGGGAAAAUGGUUAAUAUUCCAUUACUUCUGUGUAAUGCGAUGAGAGGACGGAGAAGGCUAAAUCAGCCUGGCGUUGGUUGUCCAGGUGAAAGGAUGUAGGCAUGUAUCUUAGGCAAAUCCGGGGUACUCUAUGCUGAGAUCUGAUAGCAAGCUGUACUUGUACAGCGAAGUGGUUGAUGCCAUGCUUCCAGGAAAAGUCUCUAAGCUUCAGUUACACAGGAAUCGUACCCGAAACCGACACAGGUGGUCAGGUCGAGUAGACCAAGGCGCUUGAGAGAACUCUGCUGAAGGAACUAGGCAAAAUGGUACCGUAACUUCGGGAGAAGGUACGCUGUUGUUGGUGAUGGAACUCGCUUCCUGAGCUGACGACAGCCGCAGAAACCAGGCCGCUGCAACUGUUUAUUAAAAACAUAGCACUCUGCAAACACGAAAGUGGACGUAUAGGGUGUGAUGCCUGCCCGGUGCUGGAAGGUUAAUUGAUGGGGUUAGCGUAAGCGAAGCUCUUGAUCGAAGCCCCAGUAAACGGCGGCCGUAACUAUAACGGUCCUAAGGUAGCGAAAUUCCUUGUCGGGUAAGUUCCGACCUGCACGAAUGGCAUAAUGAUGGCGGCGCUGUCUCCAGCAGAGGCUCAGUGAAAUCGAAAUCGCUGUGAAGAUGCAGUGUACCCGCGGCUAGACGGAAAGACCCCGUGAACCUUUACUGCAGCUUGACACUGAACUUUGACCUUACUUGUGUAGGAUAGGUGGGAGGCUUUGAAGCUGGAACGCUAGUUCCAGUGGAGCCGUCCUUGAAAUACCACCCUGGUAAUGUUGAGGUUCUAACUCUGUCCCGUGAUCCGGGACGAGGACCGUGUCUGGUGGGUAGUUUGACUGGGGCGGUCUCCUCCUAAAGAGUAACGGAGGAGUACGAAGGUGCGCUCAGCGUGGUCGGAAAUCACGCGUAGAGUAUAAAGGCAAAAGCGCGCUUAACUGCGAGACCCACAAGUCGAGCAGGUACGAAAGUAGGUCUUAGUGAUCCGGUGGUUCUGUAUGGAAGGGCCAUCGCUCAACGGAUAAAAGGUACUCUGGGGAUAACAGGCUGAUACCGCCCAAGAGUUCAUAUCGACGGCGGUGUUUGGCACCUCGAUGUCGGCUCAUCUCAUCCUGGGGCUGAAGCAGGUCCCAAGGGUAUGGCUGUUCGCCAUUUAAAGAGGUACGCGAGCUGGGUUUAGAACGUCGUGAGACAGUUCGGUCCCUAUCUACCGUGGGCGCUGGAAAUUUGAGAGGAUCUGCUCCUAGUACGAGAGGACCAGAGUGGACGAACCUCUGGUGUACCGGUUGUGACGCCAGUCGCAUCGCCGGGUAGCUAUGUUCGGAAGGGAUAACCGCUGAAAGCAUCUAAGCGGGAAGCCUACCUCAAGAUAAGAUUUCCCUAGGACUUUAUGUCCUCUAAAGAGCCGUUCGAGACUAGGACGUUGAUAGGUUGGAUGUGGAAGCAUAGUGAUAUGUGAAGCUGACCAAUACUAAUUGCUCGUGAGACUUGACUA